RNAcentral lists this long non-coding RNA (1256 nucleotides) under Marmota monax (woodchuck). Lineage: Eukaryota; Metazoa; Chordata; Mammalia; Rodentia; Sciuridae. The record is from RNAcentral.
GGAAAGUUUAUUGCACUGAGGGCAUUCAUUAAAAGAAUAAAAAAUCAACAAAUAAAUGACCUAACACUACGUGUCAAACCUCUAGAAAAAGAAGAACAAAUCAACAUCAAAAGCAGAAGACAGGAUAUUAAAAUCAGAGCUGAAAUUAAUGAAACUGAAACAAAAGAAACAAUUGAAAAAAAUGACCAAAAAGUUGGUUCUUUGAAAAAAAUAAAUAAAAUAGAUAAACCUUGGCCAUGCUAUUGAAAAGUUACUAAAUCAAGGUGAAGAAUAUCACAAUAAACAUGUCUGAAAGAGAGAAGAUAAUUAGAAACUUUUUUGAAAAUUUAUACUCUAAUAAAACAGAAAAUAUCAAAGACAUCGACAAGUUUCUAGAGACAAAUGACCUACCCAAACUGAACGAGAAGGUCAUACAUGAUAUAAACAGAUCAAUUUCAAGUAAUGAAAUAGAAAAUGCCAUCAAAAGCCUACCAACCAAGCAAGGCCUAGGACCAGAUGGAUUCUCAGCCGAGUUCUACAAAACUUUCAAAGAAGAAUUAACACCAGUACUUCUCAAAGUAUUCUAUGAAACAGAAAAGGAGGGAACCCUUCCAAACUCAUUUUAUGAGGCUGAUAUCACCCUGAUACAAAAACCAGACAAAGACACAUCAAGGAAAGAAAACUUCAGACCAAUAUCCCUGAUGAACAUAGAUGCAAAAAUUCUCAAUAAAAUUCUGGCAAAUCACAUACAAAAACAUAUUAAAAAGAGAUUGCACCAUGAUCAAGUGGGAUUCAUCCCAGGGAUGCAGAGUUGGUCACCCUAUGGAUAUCAAUAAACAUAAUUCAUCAUAUCAAUAGAAUUAAAAACAAGAAUCAUAUGAUCAUCUCAAUAGAUGCAAAAAUUUUAAAAAAGCAUUUGACAAAAUUCAGCACAUGUUCAUAUUCAAAACUAGGGAUAACAGGAACAUUUCUCAACAUUGUAAAAACUAUCUAUGCUAAGACCCAGACCAACAUUUUCCUAAAUGGAGAAAAAUUGAAAGCAUUCCCUCUAAAAACUGGAUUCCCUCUUUUACCAUUUCUGUUUAACAUAGUUAUUGAAACUUUACCCAGAACAGUUACACAAACAAAAUAAAUUAAAGGGAUAUAGAUAGGAAAGAUGAACUCAAACUAUCACUAUUUGACAACAACAUGAUUCUAUACCUAAAAGAUCCAAAUAAUUCCACCAGAAAACUUAUAGAACUAAUAAAUAAGUUCAGAAAAGUAGCAGGAUAUAAAAU